RNAcentral lists this ribosomal RNA (460 nucleotides) under uncultured bacterium. RNAcentral describes it as "partial 16S ribosomal RNA". It matches the Rfam family "Bacterial small subunit ribosomal RNA", at positions 338 to 795 of the family's 1533-position model. The record is from RNAcentral.
CCUACGGGUGGCAGCAGUGAGGAAUAUUGGUCAAUGGGCGCGAGCCUGAACCAGCCAAGCCGCGUGAGGGAUGAAUGUCCUACGGGUUGUAAACCUCUUUUGUAAAGGAAUAAAGUGAGGCACGUGUGCCUUGUUGUAUGUACUUUAUGAAUAAGGAUCGGCUAACUCCGUGCCAGCAGCCGCGGUAAUACGGAGGAGCCGAGCGUUAUCCGGAUUUAUUGGGUUUAAAGGGUGCGUAGAUGGGUUGUUAAGUCAGUUGUGAAAGUUCGCGGCUCAACCGCAGGAUUGCAAUUGAAACUGGCAGUCUUGAGUUCAGGUGAGGUAGGCGGAAUUCGUGGUGUAGCGGUGAAAUGCUUAGAUAUCACGAAGAACUCCGAUUGCGAAGGCAGCUUACUGAACUGCCACUGACAUUGAUGCUCGAAAGUGUGGGUAUCAAACAGGAUUAGAUACCCCAGUAGUC